CAAUCAUCAGCAAAAUCUGAGUUUUCUGUUUGGAUUUUUUUUCAAAACUUCCUAGUUAUUAUACAUUUUUAACUAUAAAACAACCACACAUAUGCAUAUUGUUCUUCUCCUUAAUAGGAAACGGAUAUAACAAAAGUUCCGGUUUCUAUAGGAAAAUUAAAAAUAAAAAUAAAUGGUAACCAA
This is a long non-coding RNA of Cucurbita maxima (winter squash), 183 nucleotides long. RefSeq lists it as uncharacterized. The transcript is spliced from 3 exons. NCBI's taxonomy places the organism in Eukaryota, Viridiplantae, Streptophyta, Magnoliopsida, Cucurbitales, Cucurbitaceae. The record is from RefSeq and is a predicted model, not a curated record.